CUCAAUGGUGAUAGCACAUGGAUUUUUAAUGCCCUCUAGCCAUUGAUGCUGCUCUUCUCGAUCCUCCUUGGAGUCUUGGUGACUCUUAUGAAUGGGAUGUCUACAUAGAUUCAUAGGAUUAUCGGGAGGUUCAAGAGAAAGAGCGUAGUAUUAAUUAUUAGGCUCAAGGAUGGGUUUGAUAGCCGAAUCAAGGGAUUGAAGUGUUUGGAAAUUGGAUAUGAAGACUAGUACAAGAAGGAUGUCCACGAAUGAAGACAUACCUUCCUUUACUAAUAGAUAAAGAAAGAAAGACUCUACCAAAGGUUAUAUGAUUAAGACCAAUGUGAAAAUAUCGAGAAAAACAUGGUCUUGUAGGGCUAGGUCUAAACCAGAAUUUAUAGAAAGAUUAAAAGAUUCCCUAGGUGUAGCUAAAAGUUCAUUAUCUUCUUGAUUAAAAGAUAGGACCUCAGCUAUAGAAAAGGGUUGGUUUUGACCUAUUGCAAUCAACUCCGGACACAGAUCAUAAUUAGGGGCAGGACUUGUUGACUCCCAUGGUCUAUGGCUGGUCUCCGAAGGUGCAAAGAAUUCAAUAAUAGGUAUGGAAUUUGAGUUAUCCACAAAGAUAGAAAAAAUAAAAAGAUAAAAGAAUAAAAGUAUAAAAGUAUAAUACAAGAUAAUAGCAAGACUUAAAGUUAUCUCAGCAAACCGUCUUUCUCCCCGGCAACGGCACCAGAAAUGCUUGUUGAUAUUUGGAAACGCAAUAAGGAAAUGAUCCGCAAGCGCACGG
Molecule: long non-coding RNA, 766 nt
Filed under: Sorghum bicolor (sorghum)
Lineage: Eukaryota; Viridiplantae; Streptophyta; Magnoliopsida; Poales; Poaceae
Description: long non-coding RNA (SBIC_LNC012782)
Source: RNAcentral